AUAUGAGGUGAAUAAGAAGCCUGAGAUUCAACGAUAGCCCAAUACCUAUGGAAAAUGAAGGACCUCUUAUUGGCUGUUAAGAGUUUAGAGGUGCAGCAAAUAUCGAGGUUAGAAAAUGCCCAAGUUGAUGCCUUAUCUUGCCUUGCCACCUUAAGCUAUACUGACCUCAAUAAGGGGGUCUUCAUCAAACAUUUAAAGCGACUGGGUAUUGAGGAACAACCUACCAUCCUAUUGGUC
Molecule: long non-coding RNA, 237 nt
Filed under: Elaeis guineensis (African oil palm)
Lineage: Eukaryota; Viridiplantae; Streptophyta; Magnoliopsida; Arecales; Arecaceae
Description: long non-coding RNA (EGUI_LNC007973)
Source: RNAcentral